GGCAUGCGCAUGCUUACACAUGCAAGUCGAACGGCAGCGGGGGUAGCUUGCUACCUGCCGGCGAGUGGCGAACGGGUGAGUAAUACAUCGGAACGUGCCCUGUAGUGGGGGAUAACUAGUCGAAAGACUAGCUAAUACCGCAUACGACCUGAGGGUGAAAGUGGGGGACCGCAAGGCCUCAUGCUAUAGGAGCGGCCGAUGUCUGAUUAGCUAGUUGGUGGGGUAAAGGCCCACCAAGGCGACGAUCAGUAGCUGGUCUGAGAGGACGAUCAGCCACACUGGGACUGAGACACGGCCCAGACUCCUACGGGAGGCAGCAGUGGGGAAUUUUGGACAAUGGGGGCAACCCUGAUCCAGCAAUGCCGCGUGUGUGAAGAAGGCCUUCGGGUUGUAAAGCACUUUUGUCCGGAAAGAAAUCGCACUGGUUAAUACCUGGUGUGGAUGACGGUACCGGAAGAAUAAGGACCGGCUAACUACGUGCCAGCAGCCGCGGUAAUACGUAGGGUCCAAGCGUUAAUCGGAAUUACUGGGCGUAAAGCGUGCGCAGGCGGUUGUGCAAGACCGAUGUGAAAUCCCCGGGCUUAACCUGGGAAUUGCAUUGGUGACUGCACGGCUAGAGUGUGUCAGAGGGAGGUAGAAUUCCACGUGUAGCAGUGAAAUGCGUAGAGAUGUGGAGGAAUACCGAUGGCGAAGGCAGCCUCCUGGGAUAACACUGACGCUCAUGCACGAAAGCGUGGGGAGCAAACAGGAUUAGAUACCCUGGUAGUCCACGCCCUAAACGAUGUCAACUAGUUGUUGGGGAUUCAUUUCCUUAGUAACGUAGCUAACGCGUGAAGUUGACCGCCUGGGGAGUACGGUCGCAAGAUUAAAACUCAAAGGGAAUUGACGGGGACCCGCACAAGCGGUGGGAUGAUGUGGAUUAAUUCGAUGCAACGCGAAAACCUUACCUACCCUUGACAUGCCACUACGAAGCAGAGAUGCAUUAGGUGCUCGAAGAGAAAGUGGACACAGGUGCUGCAUGCUGUCGUCAGCCUCGUGUCGUGAGGAUGUUGGGUAGUCCCGCACGAGCGCACCCCUGUCUCUAGUUGCUACGAACGGUCACAU
Molecule: ribosomal RNA, 1104 nt
Filed under: Ralstonia solanacearum
Lineage: Bacteria; Pseudomonadati; Pseudomonadota; Betaproteobacteria; Burkholderiales; Burkholderiaceae
Description: bacterial SSU rRNA
Rfam family: Bacterial small subunit ribosomal RNA
Source: RNAcentral